Molecule: transfer RNA, 71 nt
Filed under: Stegodyphus mimosarum
Lineage: Eukaryota; Metazoa; Arthropoda; Arachnida; Araneae; Eresidae
Rfam family: tRNA
About the family: Transfer RNA (tRNA) molecules are approximately 80 nucleotides in length. Their secondary structure includes four short double-helical elements and three loops (D, anti-codon, and T loops).
Source: Rfam by way of RNAcentral
ACCUUCGUGGAGUAACGGUAGCCCACUCGGCCCUUAUUCGAGAGGUCCGGGUUCGAAUGCCGACGAAGGUA